AGUGGCGCACGGGUGAGUAACGCGUAAAUUAACUACCCUGGCAUCUGGAAUAACCCACCGAAAGGUGUGCUAAUACCGGAUACGCUGAUUUAUCAGGAAAGGUGGCCUCUGAUUCAAGCUACUGUGCCAGGAGGAGUUUGCGUACCAUUAGCUAGUUGGUAGGGUAAAGGCCUACCAAGGCGACGAUGGUUAGCGGGUCUGAGAGGAUGAUCCGCCACACUGGAACUGGAACACGGACCAGACUCCUACGGGAGGCAGCAGUGAGGAAUAUUGCGCAAUGGGGGAAACCCUGACGCAGCGACGCCGCGUGGAUGAUGAAGGUUUUCGGAUCGUAAAAUCCUGUCAGAUGGGAAGAAAUGUUAUAUGUUUAAUAUACAUAUAAUUUGACGGUACCAUCAAAGGAAGCACCGGCUAACUCCGUGCCAGCAGCCGCGGUAAUACGGAGGGUGCAAGCGUUGUUCGGAAUUACUGGGCGUAAAGCGCGCGUAGGCGGUUUGUUAAGUCAGAUGUGAAAGCCCAUGGCUCAACCAUGGACGUGCAUUUGAUACUGGCAAACUUGAGUAUCAGAGGGGAUAGUGGAAUUCCCGGUGUAGAGGUGAAAUUCGUAGAUAUCGGGAGGAAUACCGGUGGCGAAGGCGACUAUCUGGCUGAAUACUGACGCUGAGGUGCGAAAGCGUGGGGAGCAAACAGGAUUAGAUACCCUGGUAGUCCACGCCGUAAACGAUGUCAACUAGAUGUUGGAGUGGUUAAUCGCUUCAUUGUCGCA
This 766-nucleotide ribosomal RNA is filed under the name uncultured bacterium. RNAcentral's name for it is "bacterial SSU rRNA". It matches the Rfam family "Bacterial small subunit ribosomal RNA", at positions 94 to 850 of the family's 1533-position model. The record is from RNAcentral.